AAGCUAGAUCUUGACGUAAUUUCUUCUGAUGUAGCUAGCAGGUGGCAGAGGUGUAUUUGAAUGUCGGCAGCACCGUGACAGCGAUUAGGAUGUCCUCCGUUUGCUAGUCUUCUUUGAAUUCUGUGGAGCUCAAAUCGACAACAAAGCUUUGUGGAACUUGUUAAGUGUUAGCAUAAAUACCUAGCCUUUGUCAUGUUGAGCUUCCUCAAUAAGUGUUACUCUCUAUUUUUAUAUUUACAUUUUUAUAGAGCAGAAAUAAUUAUUUAUUUUAUUUUUAUGCCACCACAGUGAAUGUACUUAUGUGUUUUAUGCCACUCGUAUACUCACAUGGGGCUUACUAUUUUUUAACAUUUUUAUUUUCUUUUCAAGAUAGUAUGAACCUGAUUAACUAAACAAGCUAUUUAAGGAAAAGUAAAUAAUUAAAGGGAAAAGGGAUAACUACCAAGUUUACCUCUUGGCACGGUGUUUGGUGCUUUUAAGUCCUCCGAACGGGACUCCUUGUGUUCUCAGUUGUCCUGGGAUUCGCUGGAUGGCGUAGACGGUGGUUCCGGCGGCGCCUCCUCUUCGCGUAGAACUAUCUUUGCUCUCCACACCUGACUUGGUGCUACGGUCUCUUGUUCAAGCUGUAUGUCCUCAGACCUUACUACAUCUCCUUCGUAGUCUUCCCAUCUGUCCUUGAUGUUUUGCCUCCUCUAAUUGCGGUUGCGUCGCCUUCUUCUUGUCCUGACCUGCUUAGAGUCUUCAACUAUAUAGUUAGGGUCAUUAAAGUAGUGGCGUACCUUCUCAGAGGGGAAGUGCAUGUGGACUUCUCCGGUUCCAAUGUAGA
This 826-nucleotide long non-coding RNA is filed under the name Sorghum bicolor (sorghum). RNAcentral describes it as "long non-coding RNA (SBIC_LNC006613)". The record is from RNAcentral. Lineage: Eukaryota; Viridiplantae; Streptophyta; Magnoliopsida; Poales; Poaceae.